GGCGAAUGUGUGCCUGUAUAUAAUGCAAAUGAAUUGGUAUUUUUUUUCUUCAAAUAAUAUGAAAAUAAGAUGUGGUACAAAUGCAAAUUAUACCACUAUCAGUCACAGUUUUACAAGGUAGAUUGAGUGGGGUUUUUUUUAUCUUUUGAACUUCCGUUCCUUCUGGUCAUAUUGCAAAAAUAUGGUUCUGUUAUUGAGAGUAGGGGAGAUAACGCGUGUAACUAACGACGCACGUUUUUUUUUUUUGUCACAAUUUCCUCUGGAGGCGUGCAAAACGUUU
This 280-nucleotide long non-coding RNA is filed under the name Mytilus galloprovincialis (Mediterranean mussel). The record is from RNAcentral. Lineage: Eukaryota; Metazoa; Mollusca; Bivalvia; Mytilida; Mytilidae.